Molecule: long non-coding RNA, 2314 nt
Organism: Polypterus senegalus (gray bichir)
Lineage: Eukaryota; Metazoa; Chordata; Cladistia; Polypteriformes; Polypteridae
Exons: 7
Source: RefSeq, a predicted model, not a curated record
AAACAUUACUGUUAAUGUUGCCUUGACAAAUUCAAUUUAUAUUUUGCUAGCAGUAGUAUUAUGCAUGUGGAAACUGUCAAAAUGUCAAUCAAAUUUGAUGGAUGACCGGAAGUCCCGCCCUUUCCUUUGACGUCAUUAAUGUGACCUUUCUUUGAACUUGCUCCCACACCCCUUCCUGUUUUUUCCUCAGGAAACGCCAAAGAUCCGAUUGCCGGAUGUCUGGUCCUUUCUUGAACCCGCUCCCACCCAUCCUGUUUUUUCCGCAGGAAACGGUUAAGAUCCGUUUGAAGGAUGUCUGUCCCUUCUUUGAAUCCGCCCCCACCCACCUGUUUGCCCCAGGCCCAGGAAACUGUCAAGAGCGGACUUGAUGGAUGGCUGCCCCCCUCUUUGACCCGGACCCCCUCUUCCGAAGACAAGUUCAGACACGUCCGGGCAAGUUUCUAUCCAGACCCAGUCGUCCCUGCCACGGCCUCCAGUCGGCAGCCCCAGACCCUGCCGGACCAAGCUACAUGUGCCCCGGCAUCAAGGCCCUGCCUAGGACCCCUCCGUCAAGCAGCCCCUGAGGCGGGGACACCACAUGUUGGUUGAAGCCUUCACUUCCAGGCACAAUUCUUCCGAGGGCAUACACAGACACACAUGCUCCUGCCUAUAUCGCUUUGGUUGACGCCUGACAGCAGACAGCCUCAGUGCUGAAAAAAGCUGGCAGGCACUCGGCUGCGAGAUGCCCCGGCGGCUGAAGCUCUAAGUGUACUCGCCAACAAGGGCUUGUAGUUCGAAAUACACGCUGACCGGAAAUCUCAGAGGAGCAGACAAAUCCCUCCAUCGCCCUGCACGGGUCUAUAGCAGGAAGUUGCAUACUGUAUGAACCGGAGCUCCGCUGACAGAUAGUGUCAGACACAGGCCGAGAAGGAUCCAGCUGCAGGUCGCAGACUUGGCCUUCCACGCCUCCUGCCUUCCACAGUCCGCCCAACAACCGGCCACAGUCCAUAGAAAGAGAUGGAGAAGAGCUGCUGUACAGUUUUUCCAAUUCGAAAAAGAAAAGGAGCUGAAAACAUUUCCCGACACGGAACAAUGGCACAGCAGAACCAGUCACAUUUCUCCAUAAAGGCAGAGAAUAUAAAAACAACUUUGAUUACAUUGAAUAAAUCCAAGUGCCCUCUUUGUAAAAAGCAAGGAGACCAUAGCAUCCUGCUGCCUGCCUUCAGAAUCAUGAAGUCCACAUUGUCAAGUAUGCAGGUUUUACUAUUUACAGAUGUGACACAAGGUGUGUAACAAGUUGGCAAUUCCAUUGUGUUUGUUUAAAUGUCAUUGUCAACAGUUUAUUGUAUGUUAGUAUUUAAUCUUUUUCUUUGACUAUUUUUUUUACCCCUUAUAUUAGGGCUUCCCUAGUGUUUGCUUGGUUUGUGUAUGUGUGUGCCCUGCGGUGGGCUGGUGCCCUGCCUUGAGCCCUGUGUUGGCUGACCCUGUAGGUAGGAUAUAGUGGGUUGGAUAAUGGAUAGAUGGAUGGAUGUAUUAGGGCCUUCUAAGUCAGAUGAAUGGUCAUUACUUGGAAAUUUCCAUGUUGAUGGUAUGACCAUUUCAUAUUAUAAUUAUCUUUUUUUGUAUGUCUGUAUUUAAUGUUUUGUCCAGGUUUCCAAAGGACCAUUUUGUGGUGUCUCUGUAUCUCAUCCUCGAGGCCCCCUUCAAUUUUAAUGAGCAUACUGUCCAUAGUGGUUUUGAAGUUCCAGAAACGCCUACCUUUCAAAAUCCAGAUAUUUUAAAUGUAUGUUAAUAAUGGUUUGCAUAAAUAUCUUUGUAACAUUAAACUCCUUUUAACAACGUGACUCUGCUCAGUUCUCUUUAGAAUGACAUACCGGCUUUGAGGACGUGCUGCUGUAGAAUGUUACUUUAGAACUCCAGCAUCAAGGGGUUUAGACUCUAUUGAGCCAUUAAGAGAAGACAGAGUAAAGACUUGGCACUACAUCUGAAAUGAAAAAAAAAUGUCUUGCUAUUCUGUUCCAUAGCACUGCGUUUUGAAGGUUUCAGAUCUUUUCUUUUAGAAGAAACAUCAGCCUCCCUUCUCCAACAUCCAGCACAGGGCACCGAUGAGCAGCAACACAGAAUCCUUCAGCAUCUUACCGAGGCAGAGAAGUGAUGUGCUGAGAACAUUUCUGUGUUCAAGGGGCACGUCUCACUCCCUCAUUACUGUCAAUGAACAAAGACAACAUUGAGGAGGCCCUUCAGAAAUCUGAUUUGCUAUCUGAAUUUCCAGAAGAAGAGGAGAGGGAAUAUGUCCUUAGACCCUUCAUCAUCCUUUAUUUCACAUAUGGAAGAC